GCGCCUGUAAAGUUUAUGUUUUCAUCCCCCACUCUAUUCAUAACAGCCAGAGGAUGUUCGGAAUUAAAACAUACAAAGGUGCUUUGUUACAUCUGCCGGCGUUUUUCAACUCGUUCAAGCUGCGACGCAAAAGAAACCACGAAAAGUGCUCUCUACCAACAGAUGAGAACAGGGUAGCAUCAAAAAGAUGCUUGCAGACGUGCAAAAUGAAAAGCGAGACCCGUUUAAACUAAAACGAACAAAGAUAGAAAUAAAAACCAGUUUUAAUGGGACUAAUGAUAAUAUAGUCGUUUCUCUCGCACGCAUCUACCAGCCACCUGAGGUAGAUUGAAUUCUAUAGGGCGAGCAAAAAGAGAGUUGCAAAGUAGCAACGCUAAACGACAAAAAUAACGGUCAAAGCUAUACAAACAACAUCAUACAGCCUGCCUUAAAAAAAAAAAAAAAACGGCACAACCUAAGGCAUGAGUUUUGUUUUUCUAGUACUUUAUAAACUGCAGCAUAUAACUACUUUAAAAUAAUAUCUACAUAUGUGUUCAUCGAGACGGCAAGAGGUAGUAUUUUUAGCAAUGAUAAUAUAGAUAUAAGUGUACAAAUUUAUACUGUUAAUUUCAAGCUUCGAGCUUUAAGCUAUCGAACGGGUGUAAAAGGCAAGACACGAAAUUUUAUGUCUGGUGAGGACCGAAGCAAAGCAACAGACGAGGUAGCAAAGACAGCUGAAAUAAAGCAGCACAAAAAAAGAGCGGCAACUUGAAUGCUGCACACGCAUACACGCACAUAGACUUUUGCGCAAUUGGGUUGUCGUCCGCAUACACUCAACGCAAUACUCCGCCGCUACACACACACACAAAUAAUUCAUGUUGCCGUUUGCCGGCCGGAGAAAGAGCGAGAAGGCACCAUGACGCCGCGCCAAAUUAAACGGCGUCGGUUUUUGCGCGCACACCGUUUUGCCUUUGGCGGGAACGAGACAACUACAUUAGUGCCGAGAAGCGUUUUGCGUAUAUAGACACAGAAUUCAAAAGAAAAUUUCCAAAUGUUUGCGGCAAAUAACAUAGAUUUUCAUUUGCAAAAUUCGCUACAAGUCCAUUGCUUAAACAAAAUCCAAAAACGUCCGAAAACAAGGCAAACAAAGUACUCACUUCUUUUGAUCAGCCACAUCAGCCAUUUUGAAUUACUGUUAGAUAUAACUUUUCAAAGGCAAAGCGAGAAAACACGUUGUAAUUGAGGGUUUUUGGAUCACCAAGCACGACUUGAAUAUCAGCACAAAGAUUUCAAAGAACCAAAUUCAAUGUAGUUUCCUCUUUGGUAGCUUUGCUAAGAAAGUCGCUUAGUUUCUGGAGAUUUUGCCGUACAAAUAAGAACGUCCACACAGUCA
Molecule: long non-coding RNA, 1372 nt
Organism: Drosophila mauritiana
Lineage: Eukaryota; Metazoa; Arthropoda; Insecta; Diptera; Drosophilidae
Exons: 2
Source: RefSeq, a predicted model, not a curated record